This 657-nucleotide long non-coding RNA is filed under the name Polistes fuscatus (common paper wasp). Its description in RNAcentral is "uncharacterized LOC122513348". The record is from RNAcentral. Lineage: Eukaryota; Metazoa; Arthropoda; Insecta; Hymenoptera; Vespidae.
UACUUCCGGUAGCGAUACCAGUACCAGUUCCAGAACCUACACCGCUACCACUUGUUUCUAAAGAUCUACAACUAGAUGCUGAAUCACCGCAUCCACCGGCGACGCUGCAACCUUGCUGUUGCUCGCACUCUGAAACAAUAAAACAUCUGAAUUAGUAUAUUUUAUGUAUAAUCAAAUUACACAAAAAGAAACAAUGGUGAGUAUGAGCAAAGCAACAAUGUGAAGAGAUAACAAAUGAAUGAUGUGUGUAUGAUUAAUGUGUAGUAUUAAUGAAUAGCAAUAAGCGGUGCUAUUGUACAAAGAAUUAACAAAUAUAUUUCUUGUUUUUAUUUCAGCGAUUGUCCAUUAAGAAAAAGUGUGUGUCCGGCAAGUUAUUACCCAGCCAUUUAAUUGCUUUCAAUGCAAAGAACGAAGCUCUUUCUUUGAUAUUGCUAUAAAUGAACUAAAUCAAAGCGAACAUGAACUCCUCGUAUAUUUGUACUAUCGUUCAUGAGUCAUAUCGGACAGCUAGAACUCUCUAAACCAUAACUACCACAAAACGCGUACCCUGAAGAUAAGACAUCACCCCGGUUGUAAAGGAGUUUAUUCCUCUUGGCUUCUUAUGCUCUUAACGUAACACUGGUAUGAUGUAGAGAAAGUCAUUUUUGAUGAAACCAA